Molecule: ribosomal RNA, 301 nt
Filed under: uncultured bacterium
Lineage: Bacteria
Description: partial 16S ribosomal RNA
Rfam family: Bacterial small subunit ribosomal RNA
Source: RNAcentral
CAGCCGCCGCGGGAAUACGGAGGGGGCUAGCGUUGUUCGGAAUUACUGGGCGUAAAGCGCACGUAGGCGGCUUUGUAAGUUAGAGGUGAAAGCCCGGAGCUCAACUCCGGAAUUGCCUUUAAGACUGCAGAGCUAGCAGGUGAGAGAGGUGAGUGGAAUUCCGAGUGUAGAGGUGAAAUUCGUAGAUAUUCGGAAGAACACCAGUGGCGAAGGCGGCUCACUGGCUCAUACUGGACGCUGAGGUGCGAAAGCGUGGAGAGCAAACAGGAUUAGAUACCCGAGUAGUCCCUGUCUCUUAUAC